Molecule: long non-coding RNA, 5434 nt
Organism: Scophthalmus maximus (turbot)
Lineage: Eukaryota; Metazoa; Chordata; Actinopteri; Pleuronectiformes; Scophthalmidae
Exons: 3
Source: RefSeq, a predicted model, not a curated record
UUUGUUUGAUUGUGCACUUCAGUUCUGUUUCUCCACGUGUUCUGUUUGACGGACUGUUUUGGCCUUUGUUUGAACUUGUGGACUUAUCUGGAUACUCUGAACAACCGCCCGCCCCCUUUCGGACUAUUUUUGCUUGUUUGGACUGCUCUUGCUGAUCUUGGACUUUGGCCCAUCUCACCUUCCAGGACCCCUAGUGGUGUGAAGUAGAAUCAAGAUCAUGCACGGUGUGGACAAAGUUUCCCAGUGUUUUCCAGCAGCAGACCUGUUGGAAGUCGGACUAGAGGCCGGCCUCGUGGGCUGCCCCUGCCGCGGCUGUGAUUUAUCAACCAGCCAGCUCUGAUGUGCUCCUCAUGGGGCUUCCCAGCCCUUGACAACCUCCUCCAGGCUUGCCUAAACCCAGGAGGUCAUUCAGCUCUGAGGCAACCAGGCCAUAUUGCGGUUAACCAUCAUUCUUUAAAACAAAUAACACUAUGAUCAAUGCUCUGGCCGCUACAGAGGCGGUGAAUGUAUCCCCAACUGGCCCAGUCCCAGAGCCACUCUGUUCAGUGUCUGAACCAUGGUUCAAGCCUCAGACCUGCCACCUUAAGCUGAGCCAUCCACCACACAAACAAUGUAACAGAGAUCCCAAGCCUGAACACCUUUAACUUCCACUCCAGCAUCAAAUUAGCCUCCCUUACCCAAAUUUAACCCUUUGGGAAAACCUGGCCUGAAUCGCAGCUUUUCGAUAGGAACUCGGCCAAAUCAUUAGAGGCUUGUCCACCGCUCAAAACAUGUUCUAACAAUUACAAGGAGGGUUUAAUUUUCCUCAAAGACCUCCAUCGAUCGCAAGAAUGGUUUCCCCCCUGAACAUAACACAGACUGCACCGCUCUGGCACACUGCACUGUACACCCACACAUGGACACAAUGAAGAACCAUAAUGAAACCAUCUAUCUUCUUGACACUAAAGGCUAGCAUACAGAAGGAGCUCACUGUCUUAUAAAUCUUUCUCGUGACCUCAGCCAGUUUGGUCUGUGCCGCUAUUAGGAUAGAGAUGAAGUGCACCAUGGUCGCCAUUCUCCUCCUCUUCCGCGUUGAGCACGGAGGUCCGACUGAGCGACUUGGCAGGAGAUGUGAGGGAGAUGCAGCAGACAAACGGGAGAUGAAGUGUUUUGAAGUCGUCUUGAGAAACCUCAUAGCCUCCCCCCUCGGGAGCUGACUCUGUUUAACCGAUAAAACUGGAGACCCCAAGGUCCCUUGGUUAAGGAUCAGUGAGGAUCGAUGCUCACACAGAUAUGUUGUGUGUCACUCAAGCCCAGGAAGAGCAUAGUUUUCUUGCUUGUGUGUGUGUGUGUGUGUGUGUGUGUGUGUGUGUGUGUGUGUGUGUGUGUGUGAGAGAGAAAGGGAGAUCAGACUCAUAAAUAGCAUUUAUAUGUUAAUGUGUGUGCAUGUGUUUUGCAUCUGUGUGUGCGUGAUAAUGUUCGCCAAGCCCGCAGACAGAAUGCAUAUGUUUUCAACUGAGUUGUGUCCACGUGUGUGUGUGUGGUUGAAGCUAUUUGUAUUCAUGUGUUUGUGAACGUCUUCGCAUGUGAUUGUGGAGAGUAUACCCAAGACAGCCUGAGUAAAAAUGUGUGUGUGUGUGCACGUGUGUGCGCGCGCGCUUUCAUGAGUCCGUUGGUGCUGUGUGAGAGAGUGUGAGAUAGCGAGGAGUGCCGAGUGUUCGGUCCAAGCACAACAAGAGGUUCCUUAUGGACAGAGGAGCCAGUCAUGAAUCAGGUGUGAUACCUGCACCCAGCGUUCGCAGAGCGCCAAAACAAACACAGCCAAAAGUGGAGCCACGUCCAGCUCGCCUUCUCUCUGCGUGGAAGUAAUUUCUGAGGUGUUGAAAUUGUCACUUUUCCUUUGGUGUUUAAAAAACACAUUCAUUUGAACUCUCGCACAGAAAGAUUUCUACUUCACACAAGGCACUUCUCUCCAGCAGGCUCUGUACAGGCUCACCGGCUCGCGUUAGUGGCUCACUGAGAUUUGCAUGUACAUGUUUGGCCACUAACGAUGGACACUGUAGUUCAAAUGACUUUAGUUCUUCACAUACGGUUUGGAUUUUCUUGUUCUUCAAGUUGCUGUUGCUGGCUGUUGUUUAGCUUCAAGAUGAGAGGUCACGUCUGUUUUCCUGAGGGUCAUAGAGUAGCUGCAAUAUCAGCAAACACGUUCAAAUUAACAAUUUCACACAGAUAUUCCAGUAACAGUGGAUCACUUACAACUGUUAGUGGGGUCAUGGUAAUGACUUUAAAAUGGAACUGAAGACAUUAUCCUCAAAUAAUCUUUAGUCACAACAUGCAAACAAAUAUAGCCCUUAGAAAUGACAGGCGCUCAUGUCAGGUUCAUCAGCAUCCGAAUCAGAAAAAUUGUUUACAUUUGUUUUAACUGUGACUUGGAAAUAUCAGUAAAAGCUGACAGCAGCAAUAUUUCCCACUUGUUGAAAAGAACUACAGAAACAUCAAAACAAAAGACAGAGUGGAUGCAAAGCCAACAUCACUGGCUGCUAACAUCUAAAUAAAAUCCAAUAUCACGCCUAACAUAAUCAAUUUGACUGAUUUAUAAGUAGCUAUGAACUACUACUUGAAUCUUGUAUGACUCCAAAUAUGUCACACUUCUAAUAUAGCUAAUUAACAUUCCCAAGUCAAAAUGUUUUUUUGUUCUGUUUUUCACAUUCUGUUGACAUUGCAUGCAAUAGAGAUAAAUUCUAUAAAAAAGAGAAGAAAUGUUUCUAAUGGCAGCAAAGAGGAUAAAAUUGAUGUGUUUUCAAAACACAGUUACGUUUUUAAGACGGGAUUUUUACACCAAUUAAGUUUGAUAAGAAACUGUAGUUUAUUUCUGUGACUCAAGACAACUCAAGAGACGAAACAGUGAAAAUUAUAAGUGCAUAUCAGUUCUCUGACAGAUUCAUCAAGUGAAUCGUAUGUUGUUGCAAUUCAGAUGCCAUUAGUUUUAUUCAGCGCACAGCGUUGAUUUCAGAGUAAUGUAUCUGCUCUCACGCAGCGUUUCCCUGACAGACGCCUUGAACUGCUAAGUUCAUCAGUACGUACACGGACAUGCCUAGUAAUGAUGUUACAGUAAACUGAUCCAUCCGUGUUUUAUUGUACCUACUGGAGCCGUGAUUUCACAUUGUCACGACUGAUUUGCAACUUGGGUCGUCUCCAGCUGGCAUUUCCAGGCGUGUGUGUGUCUGUAUGUGUGUGUGUGUGUGCGUGUCUACAAGCAAAUGUACUGAUUAAUGAGUCGGCCUGUACUUAAGACCUAUCUGACAGUUAUGGUUUCAAAGCUGAUAUGAACUGCUUGGUUUACAAGUGAGGUUCCAGGCCAGCCAGGUGUGACACACGGUGGACUGUAUGGUUCUGGACAGGCCGUCCUACCGUCCCCAUCAGGGGUGCCCUAGCGGACAAAGCCAUUUUACAGGAGAGGAGGUGAGUGUUGGGUUUCAGUGUCACGCAGGGGUAACGCUUGCAACUACACUCCUCAACCCCUGCCCUCCUCACCCUGCCUCCCUCAGCACCAGUAUCCAUUUUGUCCCAGUAUACUCCUCACUCCUGUUUCCUCCCCCACUGAGCUCUAGCUGCCAUCCCAUGACCCACUGCACUCCCAAACUGUUCGUACUUUGUUUCACUGUUGUAAAUGUCACCUGAGUUACACUCUCUGCUUUCCACAGACGGCCCUUUAUCCGCCACCCUUUUAAAAAAAAGACCCCCACUCACAUUUCAUGUUUUCUCAUUUUUACUACGUGCUAGAGAACGCGUUUCCUCCCGGUUCACUCAGUCAUACGAUACAACUCACUUUUUUUGCCAGAAUGUCUUUCCCUGCAUCAUAUUUUUGUUGUCUGCUUUUUUACACUGGACUCACACUCACAGCAAGGGUGAGUGUACACGUGUGUCUGAGGUUUAUCCACAAAUCUCAAAUUAAGCUGCCCGCUAGUUUAUAGCUCUUUGAACCCAUUUGUAGGAAAGACGGCAUUAAAUGAGUAUCCCCACUCUUAAGACAGUUUUGGCAGCUGGGUUCACUCAUAGUAGCAUGCAGUUGUGACAUUGAAUGGUGCUGAAAGAAAAAAACCUUGAAUGAACGUAGCAGUCCUCAAGCCAUGUGUCGAUGUGGAAUUGUACAGCUGUGGGAGAUGGCGAAACGUCAGAUAAGAUCCACGUUGAUGUUGUUCUGUGAAUGCUCCGUGCUGGAAAGUUCACUUCCCCCUGUGUCACAAAACGCAAACCUCUCAUGUGUAUUUAAACAUAUCUAACAUUUCGCAUUACAGUAUGUCUUUGAGUUCAGCUGGAAUUUAGGCACGAGGCCCGCGGAUCAUUAAGCACUUACGAUCUUGGAUCGUGACUGAACACGAUACAUUCACACUUGUUCCAUGAUGCAAGGUCCAUAUUCUGUAGGGGCCAUGAAGGGCCCGGUCUGACAGUGAUGACAGCGUGAUUAAUGCCCACCUCCCGUCCCACUCACACACUCACUUCACGCAGCUAAAGUCUAACUGGCUUGAAGAAAAGCUGCCAACAGGGCCGAACAAGCAGCAGCCAGAUUUCAUCUGACGAGAAGAUAGAAAUUGAUAAGACUCCGUUUGACUGUGGAAAUAAAUACCGACUACAGCAUUCUACAGAAGUGAAUAUUGAGAACAUUUAGAGAAGGUUUGGUUACUUGAAUAGAUACUACACUCAAACUUUAAAAUGUUCACGUCAAUUAGGAAAGAAUUGGUAUGAAGAUAAUGCUCCUGCAUGGUUCUUCUAAAGCUUUCACUGAUUUGAGAUUCAACUAUCUCAGCACACUGACCGAUGGGGACUUAAUUUCAGAUUUAAAUGGCUCAAAAGAUUUUCAGGUAUUAAACUUGUAUUCAGGUUUUUGAUAUGGCAAACAGGUUUUGAAUUAUUGUAAUUUAGAUGCUUUUUUUUUCUGGUGGGCUAUAGAAGCAGGUUGGAGUGACCACUAGGCCCCAGGCAAGCUACCAGUGGGAGACAUACAUAUUACUGUGGCAAUCUUUUGAAAUUAACUUUCAACUACACCCCCACAUCCUUUUUUUGGAUAUGUUUCGCUGAGUCCUUUUCAUCAAGUCUCUCAGUCCAUGUUUAUGUAUUUUAAUCACCAAGGUGUUAGCAGAUGCCUGGAGGAAUUUAUUUGGCUUUGUUUCUUUGGAUUCUCAGUGGGCGACGUGCUGAUUGGUCAACUCACGCAUCAAGAAAGGGUCACAAUUUGUGCUUGUAAUUUUGGUGUCACAUGCACAGAUAAGAGAUUUAUGUCUGUUUCUCAGACUUUGUGAAACAUUUUUGUUGAAAAUAUGCCUGCACAAUUUUUGAAUUACUCACACACAAACUAUUUCUACAGUUACGGGAAAAAAACAUAUGAAUGUGUUCAAAUUAUGUGUGUAUAAUUUUUCACACGUGCACACGUUCUUUUGCAAAAACAAUUGCUGCA